AGAAUGAACGUUGGCGGCGUGGAUUAGGCAUGCAAGUCGAGCGAUCGUAGCAAUACGGGAGCGGCAAACGGGGUAGGAAUACCUCGGAACAUACCCUCAGGUCGGGGAUAGCGGCGGGAAACUGCCGGUAAUACCCGAUGAUAUCGAGAGAUCAAAGGUUUACUGCCUGGGGAGUGGCCGAGGCGAUAUUAGCUAGUUGGUGAGGUAAUGGCUCACCAAGGCAUAGAUGUCGUAGGGGGCGUGAGAGCGCCGACCCCCACCACUGGGACUGAGAAACU
RNAcentral lists this ribosomal RNA (278 nucleotides) under uncultured soil bacterium. RNAcentral describes it as "partial 16S ribosomal RNA". It matches the Rfam family "Bacterial small subunit ribosomal RNA", at positions 26 to 328 of the family's 1533-position model. The record is from RNAcentral.